Molecule: transfer RNA, 75 nt
Filed under: Echinotriton andersoni (Ryukyu spiny newt)
Lineage: Eukaryota; Metazoa; Chordata; Amphibia; Caudata; Salamandridae
Description: tRNA-Leu
Rfam family: tRNA
About the family: Transfer RNA (tRNA) molecules are approximately 80 nucleotides in length. Their secondary structure includes four short double-helical elements and three loops (D, anti-codon, and T loops).
Source: RNAcentral
GUUGAGAUGGCAGAGCCCGGUAAUUGCAAAAGACCUAAGCCCUUUCACCCAGAGGUUCAACUCCUCUUCUUAACU